AGUUUUUAUUGGCUCCUCCUUAUCCUUUCUAGUUCCUUUCUAAAGGAAUCUGCAUUACUGUUCAUAUCCUGUCUUAAUUCCUUCAGUAUUUUCACUAUUUCCCUUUUAAACUCAAUGUCUGUCAGACUGCAGGGGUCUAUUUCAUUGUUGUCUGCUUUAGGUGAAUUCUCCUAUUCCUUUAACUGGGAAUAAUUUCUGAGCUUCUUCAUCUUGCUUGUGUUUUUCUUUUUCUGUGAGUUUGGGGAAGCCAAACUGUAAUUUUGUAAGUCUACUUAUAUGCAAGAAUACUCCUUUGUGUUUUUUGGGGGGUUACUAUUUAUUUUUCAUGUGGGAGUUUGAAUAUUUGCUUUCUUUUUCUUCUGUGUUAGCAGGCUGUUAUAUCCCAGGAUGCUCAGUGUGUUUCCAGGGAGAAGGCAAUGAUGGGCAGGGCCAGUGGUCAGUGCCUAGUUUUUGGGUUCUCAACAGAAGCAAGGACCUGCAGGAAGGUGGCCCAAGCUGUUCCUAGUUGCAGGGCCCUGGGAAGUGGUAAUAAGCUCUAGGCUGAUCUUCAGCUGACCAGAACAUUUGGCAGAAGCAGCAGCAGGGUAUGUGAGUUCCCAGGGGAGUGAGAGCAAAAACAACUUGUGUUUGAUUGCAAUGCCCUCCUCUGAGGUGAUUGGAACUGCAGGUGGUUCCUGUUCAGGGACCCCUGCUGGGAGCAGGCCAUGACUGUCUCUAGAGUCAAUGAUAACUGUGGUGCUUUGCCCCCAUCACCUGUAGACCAUGCAUGAAGCAACCUGUCUCACUUAGCCCACAUAGAAUGUGCUGUACAAGCUGUUCCUAGUUGCAGGAUCCUGGGACGUUACAGAGAUCAGGUGUGUUGGUACUGCCCAGAAUGUUUGGCAGUGGCAACCUCAGGGCCAGUGUGUUCCCAGGGGUGCGAUAGCACCAACAGGUGGUAUUCGGUCUCAAUGCCCUCCUCUGUGGUGACUUUGAGGUGAAUGGGGCUGCAAGUGAUAUUUGUUCACAGACCCCUAGUGGUGGUGAACCACUCCCACCUCUGGAGUCAGAGAUAACUGCAAUAUUUGCCCUUACCUCCUGUAGACCAUGCCAGAAGCACCUCGUCCUGCUUAGCCCCCAUAAGAGGUGCUGUACAAGCUGCUUCUCGUCACAGGUUCCUGGGAAGGGACAGUGAUCAAUGGUCUGGACACUGCCCAGAGUGUUUGGCAGUGGCAGCAGCAGGGUGGGUGUGUUCUCAGGGGUGUGAGAGCAACAACAGGUGGUGUUCCAUCACAAUGUCCUUCUCUGUGGUGCCCUUUGAGGUGGAUGGGGUUGCAAGUGAUUUUUGUUCAGGUAUCCCCAGUGGCAGUGGGCCAAACCCACCUCUGGAAUCAGAGAUAACUGUGGCAGUUUGCCCCUGCCGCCUGUAGUCCACACAAUAAGUACCCUGUCCCACUUAACCCACAAAGGAGGUGCUGUACCAGCUGCUUCGAGUUGUAGGGUCUUGGGAAGGGACAGUGACCAAGUGUCUGGCCGCCUCCUAGAGCAUCUGGCAGUGGCAGCUGCAGGGCGGUUAUGUUCCCAGGGGAGUGAGAGCAACAAUAUAUGGUGCUUGGUUUCAGUGCCCUCUUUUUUUAUUUUUUUCCAACCCCUGAGGUGACUGGGUUGCAGGUAGAGCCCACUCACAGGCCCCCAGUGGUGGCAAGCCACGCCUCCCUCUGGCCUCUGAGACCAUCUCAGUGGUCUGUCCCUGCCAUCUGUAGGUUAUGCAAGAGGCACGAC
RNAcentral lists this long non-coding RNA (1761 nucleotides) under Sus scrofa (pig). RNAcentral's name for it is "lncRNA (ENSSSCG00015058471.1)". The record is from RNAcentral. Lineage: Eukaryota; Metazoa; Chordata; Mammalia; Artiodactyla; Suidae.